This 32-nucleotide non-coding RNA is filed under the name Homo sapiens (human). Lineage: Eukaryota; Metazoa; Chordata; Mammalia; Primates; Hominidae. The record is from RNAcentral.
UGUCUAUAAAAUACUGUCUACUAAAACUCCUU